Small nuclear RNA from Caenorhabditis elegans, 109 nucleotides. The record is from Rfam. Lineage: Eukaryota; Metazoa; Nematoda; Chromadorea; Rhabditida; Rhabditidae.
GUAUUGUUCCAAUUUUAGUAUAUGUUCUAGAAUUGGAACAAUACAGAGAAGAUUAGCAUGGCCCCUGCGCACGGAUGACACGCAAAUUCGUGAAGCGUUCCAAAUUUUU